Molecule: unclassified non-coding RNA, 354 nt
Filed under: Hevea brasiliensis (rubber tree)
Lineage: Eukaryota; Viridiplantae; Streptophyta; Magnoliopsida; Malpighiales; Euphorbiaceae
Source: RNAcentral
CGUCACGUCACAUUCCUCUAUCUUUAGAGAUUUUGAUGUCCGUAGACGGAACCAGGCAGCCUGCAGCCAAGUAGCGAACCAGCCAACCACCCACCGUGUGCGCAUUACGCACCGGGCUCCCCUAUGCUUAAAAUGCGCAGCGCAAUGCAGCUCAGUGAUGAGUGAUGACGAGCCAGAGCCUCACUUGCAAAUCAGUUUCCGUUUGUUGUUACUUUGACUUUUUCACAGUUGAGAAAUUGAAGACAAUCAUCUCAUGAAUUUUCACUAAAUGGGUUGCGUCUACUCUCGAGGCUGCAUCGGCGAGGUGUGUGUACCCAGAGACCCCAGAGUCAAGCAGCAGCAGCAGCAACAACA